RNAcentral lists this long non-coding RNA (284 nucleotides) under Cyanistes caeruleus (blue tit). RNAcentral's name for it is "lncRNA (ENSCCEG00000011866.1)". Lineage: Eukaryota; Metazoa; Chordata; Aves; Passeriformes; Paridae. The record is from RNAcentral.
CUUUUGGAGAUUAGCAGAGCACUCCAGAAACACUAGAAACAUUUCUUCAUGAUGUUUUACCAGGUUGAACAUGCGAGAGAAGCCUGUUUUUCUCAGUUACCAGUGAAAAUUAGCUGUGCAAGGAGGAUCAACUACAACAGGCUGCUAAAGGAGAUCCCAAGAUGAGAUUGCAAGGGAGAUCAGCACAGAGUGCAAAUCUGAAAAACAGUUUUCCAGUUAGGAUACAGUCCAUCUAGGCCCCUUCUCCAGUUUCUUGUCCCUAUCAUUUCCUAAGUGAGGAAAUG